Long non-coding RNA from Lolium rigidum, 4405 nucleotides. RefSeq lists it as uncharacterized. Lineage: Eukaryota; Viridiplantae; Streptophyta; Magnoliopsida; Poales; Poaceae. The transcript is spliced from 7 exons. The record is from RefSeq and is a predicted model, not a curated record.
ACCCACCGGCGUGCCGCCGCCGUGCUUCCCUGCUCCCACCCCUCGCGACACAUAGCACCGUCCUUGCAGCUCCUCAUCCACGCGAGACCACCGAGGAAGUUCCCGCGCCCCAUCUUCUCCUCAACUGGCCCGUCUCGACGGCCUCCCUGGCUUCCUCCAGGCAGGCCGCGUGCUCCGGCGACGCCGCUCGCUACUUCUUCCACGAGUGUGCUCCUGCGUCGGCGCCGCCCCAGAUCCGCCCGCUGUCGGCCGCGCGUCGUGUUGGACUCCGAAGCAGGCCGUCCCGUUUCCUGAACUUCCAUUGAACGUGGAUGCCGGCAGGACCUCAACGAGAACAUUUAUUUUCUUCUCUAAACGUCGCCGGUGCUGAUGCGAGAGGCUCAGGAGAAGCGACGGAAGGAAGUAAGGAACGGACGUCCAAGUGCUUUGAUACCCUGGGCAUCGCGGAUGACAUUGACGAAGCGGUCAUAGUCGUAGGCGAGGAGGAUGACCUGAGGAGUCGUUUCUUCUGGUUGCGGCCAGGGAAGCGCAGAGCGACGGAGGCGCUCCAGAAGUGGACUGGCGAGGACUGCCCUCACGGUGCUGUAUCGUCCGAGAUCUGAGCCUUGACAGUUGAUUCAAGCACUCCCUUAGGAAUCUGUGCGGUCUUCAGGAAGAUGUCGCCAGGAGACUCGUGGAGGAUGUUUCAACUUGCAAAGAGAAAAUGGCUGAACGUUUCUAGUAAAUAUUAGCUCAAAAGUUCCAAAGUGGGAGCUGGUAAUGAGAUUUAGAGGGAUGCAGACUCAAGAACAGAUGUGGGAUUCAUGGGCGCUUGGAGGACUACAGGCAGGCCUUACCUGACCACCUCCUCCAGCUGGUUGUAUAGCUAUUUCAGUUGCAUGUCUAAACUCCGAAUUUACUCAACUGUGAAUAACAUAUCAGUUCAACAUUUAUUUUUAGGCUAAUCAAGCUAAUAAUUGUGUGCACAUCGAUGGCAGUCUGAAGCAGAUCAGAUUGCAGCCAUUGUCUGUUAAGCUCCUGAGUGGACGCAUUGAAGGGGUGCUGCGAAGCCUGCCAUUGAAGGAUCAAGAGUCAAGAAUCAAGAUGCAAUUACCAUCUAUAUUUUGCGUUGUGCACCAAAGCCGCGUCAGUUAUUGCACGGUGUGACAAGCCACAGUACAGAGGUAGAGAGAGCUUGGUAGAGAGAGAAAGAUUGAGUGAAUUGUUCAUGAUCUUUUUUUGGCCUUCUUCUUGCAGCGCUCAGGCUACUUCGUCGUGCCACAUGAACAUCUGACGGACUGAAGUUUUAGGCAUACCAGAUAGAAGAGGAGCAGUAUGCAAGGUCAAGAUGAGGCUAAUUCUAGGGCGCAGCUGAUGAAGUAGUGAGCAAGGAUUUGUUUUCUGUCAGCUCAUAAUAGGCGAGUUCCUCUUGCUCUUUGGAUUCAUUUGCUUAUGGUGUGCACACCUAGGUUAAGAUAUGUUGUGUAUAUCACCUUUUGAUGCAAUGUUAUUUAUUAGGCUCACCUACAAAUCUGAAUCUAUUAACUUUUAUCAACUUAAUAACUUGGAUAAGAAGGUUUAGCUACUAUAGUAUUCUGUAGACCAAACAUUAUUUCUGUUAUUGUACAAGCUCAAAUUACUUCCUGUGGUACCUGUAUUAGUUUAUCAGACCUGGUGCUGCUGAAAGUAUAUUUCAGAUCAACAACCUAAUCUAAAAUUACAGAAAUAGACUACUUUGUGUUAGCAAUAGGGAGAUUAUUUAUUGUUUUCAAUGAAGGGGGACCUUUCUUCUUAUGUAUGAUCAUUGAUGUUUUGAAUUUUUGGCAUCUGGGGUGUUUUGAUUUGCACAUGCUAAAAGACGAGAAAUUUGGCCUUCGUGUUUGCAGUUCACCAGCUCAAUUAUUUUCUGUUUAUUUGGAGUAACGAAUACAUCAUCACUUUGUAGCUGUUGACAAGCUAUGCCACAUCACAUAUUUGCCACAUCAGCAAGUUUCCUUCUGUCCAUGUUCCACUCAUUCGUUCAGUUUGUUCAUGGCAAAAUCAUACGAACGGUCCACAUGCAGAGAUCAUUACUGUUUUUCUUCCCCAUCGAUCUUUCUGUCUCUUUGCAUUCCCGUUGGUCUUCUUCUCCUAUUUAUGCUGCGCAUGCCCUGUUCUCACGUCUACAAUCCCAACCAUCGAACGCAUCCCCAUCUCCUCUACUACGGCGGUGCCUUGCCUCUCCUCGAUCUACUACGUCCAACCGAAGCAGCAACCAAUGGAAGCAUCGAUUUGGCCAUGACGAGUAGCGCUGUUGUGUCGAGGGUUCCCCGACAACGAUUCCAACGACUAGAAGAGACAUCCCAUGUCAAUACUAUCUAGGUACACACGAGAUCUAAAUAUCCAUCUAGGGUGCAUAAUUUCUGUCGAUUAUUCCGAUUUGCUCUAGCUGUCUCCGUUUGCAAAACCAUAGAUUUAUAAAUCAGCUUGCUGAAGCCCUUGAGGAAAGCGAUGUUGUCAUCCAUGGACCAUGGGGGUAUCAGGUAUAUAUUGUUCAUCCAAAUUUACUGUGAGUGAAUAAAUUACCUUGCAGAACUACACAGGGUCCUCUCAUAGUCUCAUCUAUGCUUCCAUAAUCUUCUUUUCGUCCAACACGUGUUUUUUAUAUUUGUUAACACUGAAGUGCUCUUUUAAUAAUUAACUAUAUAUAUUGAUUGGAUCUGCAGUUCUCUAGGGCGUGGACCUGUAUAGACGUAUGUAAAUUUGAAGGUGCUAACCUCUGUCUUCUGUCUUCAGGCCAAGUGCAGUUCCAUGUGAUUUAUUAUUUAUUAGCAGGGAUGAAAACUUCCGUGACAGUGCUCUCAAAAUCCAAAUUCCGAUCUAUAGAUGUAAGUUCUAUUUUAAUCAUUAUACAAUAUACAUACCGUCAUCCUUUGACUGUUGUAGCAUUGCUUGAGUUCUACACCUGAAGCUAAUCGUGUUUGUCUUUGCGGAAUUUCUAAGAUUCUUUUUAUUUGCCUUUAUUGUCAUAUAGUUGUACUACACAGCUCACGAGCCAUUGUCUUUGCAACUGGCUUACCAUAUUGGAAAAGAAAGUUCAUCGUUGUGCUAAUUAAUAAUUAUAUUAUAAUGUUUUAAGCAUGCUCUUGAGGAUUCCUCAGGUUUCACGGUAAAAAAAUCAACAUGUUGGAGUCGACGAACUGAAACCCCUCCCGUCGGUCCCAUGGUUUCAGAAGGAGGCAUUGACCUGAACGUCCCGAGCAGUAUACUGUGGUGCCUUCAGGCUUCAGGUUGUGGAGGAUGCCUUCCAAUGUCGAUGUUGUGGCUUCGUCUUUGGUAUCUCUGCCCAUGAUCAUGUAAAUAACCCUUUUGUUUUAGUCCCUAAUUAAAUAUUCCUGAUUAGCCACGCAAUGCAGUUAUUAUUGUUUCCUGCGUGAUCUGUUUUCUCCCAUACAUGAAUUUUAGGCCCGCCAUUUCAGAUUUAAGCCCGUGGCAUGUUUUAGUCCCUUGACUAUAGCAGGUUUUUCUCCUAAUCCUCCUGUACUAUUUUCUUAAAUUACAAUGAGAUUAUCUUCCAUGAUUGUUAAUUAUGUUUCUUCCUAGCCUUCUGUAGAAGUGUUCAUACAUGAGUGAAUAUCUGUGUUACUCUGUAUUUGCCAUCUGUUCAUACAUGAGUGAAUAUUCAGAGUAAAUUUUUUUUACGUAAACUUGGAAUAAACAUGAAGAGUCGUUUUCCUACUCUUCAGUCAUGUCCCCCAAUAUUUUUUCUUAUUUCAGUUUCGGUAAGACUCCCAAGCACAAUCCAGGUAAUUCACAAAUAUUUGUGUUUCAGUUUAGGUAAGCCUUUAUUGGAAUGGAACAUUUGUUUUCUUUCUUUCAAUUAUCUGAUUCAUUAACUCAGAAAUAUGUUGGUACUGGUGCUACAUCUACUGUGCAGGUAUUUGAAACGAUGCCCCAUGGUAAAUCUACCUCAAGCUGAUUUGUCGAUCAAGCAAUCUUAUCAGUUGUAUGCCAUUUUCCCCUUAAUUGAAGGUUUAUCACAAUUUUGUAGCAGUGCCAUAUUUGCUCUCAACUUACAACACUAUAAUUUGUUUUAAGUUUGCUACUUUCCUACCAAUGUUGUUAUUAACUAGCUACAUGUUACAAUAUUAAAUUUUUUUAUUUAAAAAAUAGAGGCCUCCUAGAAUCCAUCCAAUAUUUUCACCAUGUAGAUGACUAAGGUUGCCUACUCUUUUUCCAGGCCGGUGACGUAAACGCCAGCUCUCCCGAAUGCAAUAAUCGUCGAAUGAAGCUAGAUACUUAGUACUUAGUGUGUUAUCUACACUAAAUUUAUGUUUUCCUUGAAACGUGUUGAUUUUCCACAUUAAGUCAAAUAGUACCAUGAUUUUACGAACUCUCAAAUCGUAUGCGAUAUUAAUUUCAUAAAUAGACAAGGUACUCAGCUAAA